This 877-nucleotide ribosomal RNA is filed under the name uncultured bacterium. RNAcentral describes it as "bacterial SSU rRNA". It matches the Rfam family "Bacterial small subunit ribosomal RNA", at positions 78 to 953 of the family's 1533-position model. The record is from RNAcentral.
CUUCGGGGAUGAGAGAGCGGCGGACGGGUGAGUACACGUGAGAAUUUGCCCUUUAGUGAGGAAUACCCCUGAGAAAUUAGGGUUAAUACCGCAUAAGUUCCUUCGGGAAGAAANNNNNNCUCUUUGCUGCCGCUNNNNNAUAAGCUUGCGGACUAUUAGCUAGUUGGUAGGGUAAAGGCCUACCAAGGCGAUGAUGGAUAGCCGGCCUGAGAGGGUGAACGGCCACACUGGAACUUAGACACGGUCCAGACUCCUACGGGAGGCAGCAGUGGGGAAUAUUGCGCAAUGGGCGAAAGCCUGACGCAGCGACGCCGCGUGGGGGAUGAAGGUCUUCGGAUUGUAAACUCCUGUUAAGUGGGAAGAAAGAUCUUCUUUUAAUAGAAGAAGAGGAUGACUGUACCAUUAGAGAAAGCACCGGCUAACUUCGUGCCAGCAGCCGCGGUAAUACGAAGGGUGCUAGCGUUAUUCGGAUUUAUUGGGCGUAAAGGGUGUGUAGACGGCGUAUUAAGUCAACUGUUAAAUUCUCCGGCCUAACUGGGGGUCAGCGGUAGAAACUGAUAUGCUAGAGGAUGAAAGAGAGAAGUGGAAUUCUCGGAGUAGCGGUAAAAUGCGUAGACCUCGAGAGGAACACCGAUGGCGAAGGCAGCUUCUUGGUUCAUUCCUGACGUUGAGACACGAAAGCGUGGGGAGCAAACAGGAUUAGAUACCCUGGUAGUCCACGCUGUAAACGAUGAUCACUGGACGUCAGUUCUGUUUUGCAGAAUUGGUGUCGUAGCUAACGCGCUAAGUGAUCCGCCUGGGGAUUACGAUCGCAAGAUUAAAACUCAAAGGAAUUGACGGGGGCCCGCACAAGCGGUGGAACAUGUGGUUUAAUUCG